Molecule: transfer RNA, 109 nt
Filed under: Colletotrichum higginsianum
Lineage: Eukaryota; Fungi; Ascomycota; Sordariomycetes; Glomerellales; Glomerellaceae
Also listed under: 1 other name
Description: tRNA CH063_16223
Rfam family: tRNA
About the family: Transfer RNA (tRNA) molecules are approximately 80 nucleotides in length. Their secondary structure includes four short double-helical elements and three loops (D, anti-codon, and T loops).
Source: RNAcentral
GGUCUGGUGGUGUAGUUGGUUAUCACGUCAGUCUAACAGUUCGAGCUUCGUUCUACGACGUUCUCGCCUGGUUCACUGAAGGUCUCCGGUUCAAGUCCGGGCUAGAUCA